UGCAGGACUGAGAGUCUUAGCUUCUGGCUGCCUGUUGACUGCCUGAGCUCCUAGAGGAGUUAGAAUCUGCUCCUACUUCCCAGCCCUGUGAGCUUUCCCAACACAGCCACAUCCUUCCUCACAUCAGUAUGGAGAGUCUAUAGAAUGAAUGUACUAGCAGGAAAGAGUCUUGUACACUGUGACAUAAUCACGAGAGGGAAAAGACAAAGAAUCUAGCGCAGAAAGAAAGUAACCCCACAAGACAGAUCUUGCUUAGCCUGUAGUUACAGAGGACGGGACCAAUGGUGAGAAGUUAAAUAAAUUGCUCAGGCAAACCAAGCCUCCCAGAGCUGGAACAAGAAUCAAAACCAAAUGCUUCUCUGAAUCAAGAGCCUCAGCUUUACGUGGUUCUUAACCGAAGCCCUGCUUAGCAUCAAUCCUUAACGCAAAAAACUGCAUCAUUUAUAUGUGAAAACCUCCUUCAUUGUGUGAAUUAAAUAUGUCCUCUACAAUCUUGUUUACGUUACUUCAUUGAACAACAGACAACUCCAAGCUAUAAAAAUGGGUUUCCCAGUGAAUUCUCAUCGUUCAGGCUUUGUGGCCAUGAUCUGCUUUGUACCUAAUUUCAACAUCCCUGCUCUGUGAUAGAGAGGAUGUCAUCUGCGCGUGUACGAGGUGUCCACGUAAUGAGGGGCUAUUUAUGUCUAGUCACUGUCUGCUUAAUCAAUCCCUUCCUGGCCCUGCGCCUUCCUGGCAACAGAGCCCCGGCCUCUAAAAAGAUGGCGUGGGGCACUGAAAACAGGGUGCUGUCAGGAUUGGGGCUUCAUCGCUUGUGAGCAGCUGCCGGCACAGCAGUCCUGGGACUUUCACGAGGCUGCUCUGAAUAUGUUCACAGCCGAGGAGGCUGACCCCAUGCUGCUAAGUCAAAGCCUGUCUGCUGGAGAGCCCUGGCUUCGUCCUACUGCAUACAGACAGCCUUUCUAGGAGGAGACACUUUAUGCUUCUGUCAAACAGA
Long non-coding RNA from Mustela lutreola (European mink), 994 nucleotides. RefSeq lists it as uncharacterized. The record is from RefSeq and is a predicted model, not a curated record. NCBI's taxonomy places the organism in Eukaryota, Metazoa, Chordata, Mammalia, Carnivora, Mustelidae. The transcript has 3 exons.